CGCGGCCUAUCAGCUUGUUGGUGGGGUGAUGGCCUACCAAGGCGACGACGGGUAGCCGGCCUGAGAGGGCGACCGGCCACACUGGGACUGAGACACGGCCCAGACUCCUACGGGAGGCAGCAGUGGGGAAUAUUGCAUAAUGGGCGCAAGCCUGAUGCAGCGACGCCGCGUGAGGGAUGACGGCCUUCGGGUUGUAAACCUCUUUCAGCAGGGAAGAAGCCUUUUCGGUGACGGUACCUGCAGAAGAAGCACCGGCUAACUACGUGCCAGCAGCCGCGGUAAUACGUAGGGUGCGAGCGUUGUCCGGAAUUAUUGGGCGUAAAGAGCUCGUAGGCGGCUUGUCGCGUCGGAUGUGAAAGCCCGGGGCUUAACUCCGGGUCUGCAUUCGAUACGGGCAGGCUAGAGUUCGGUAGGGGAGAUCGGAAUUCCUGGUGUAGCGGUGAAAUGCGCAGAUAUCAGGAGGAACACCGGUGGCGAAGGCGGAUCUCUGGGCCGAUACUGACGCUGAGGAGCGAAAGCGUGGGGAGCGAACAGGAUUAGAUACCCUGGUAGUCCACGCCGUAAACGUUGGGAACUAGGUGUGGGUCACAUUCCACGUGGUCCGUGCCGCAGCUAACGCAUUAAGUUCCCCGCCUGGGGGAGUAC
This 645-nucleotide ribosomal RNA is filed under the name uncultured Streptomyces sp. RNAcentral describes it as "bacterial SSU rRNA". It matches the Rfam family "Bacterial small subunit ribosomal RNA", at positions 232 to 883 of the family's 1533-position model. The record is from RNAcentral. Lineage: Bacteria; Bacillati; Actinomycetota; Actinomycetes; Kitasatosporales; Streptomycetaceae.